UACGGAGGGUGCGAGCGUUAUCCGGAAUCACUGGGUUUAAAGGGUGCGUAGGCGGUCGGAUAAGUCAGUCGUGAAAUGCCCCGGCUCAACCGGCGGAACUGCGAUUGAUACUGUCCGACUUGAAUCGGGUUUAGGCAGGCGGAAUGUGACAUGUAGCGGUGAAAUGCUUAGAUAUGUCAUAGAACACCGAUUGCGAAGGCAGCUUGCUGGGCCUUGAUUGACGCUGAGGCACGAAAGCGUGGGGAGCAAACAGG
RNAcentral lists this ribosomal RNA (254 nucleotides) under uncultured bacterium. RNAcentral describes it as "partial 16S ribosomal RNA". It matches the Rfam family "Bacterial small subunit ribosomal RNA", at positions 524 to 776 of the family's 1533-position model. The record is from RNAcentral.